UGGGGAAUAUUGCGCAAUGGGGGAAACCCUGACGCAGCAACGCCGCGUGAAGGAUGAAGGCUCUCGGGUUGUAAACUUCUUUGAUUAGGGACGAAUAAAUGACGGUACCUAAAAAACAAGCCACGGCUAACUACGUGCCAGCAGCCGCGGUAAUACGUAGGUGGCAAGCGUUAUCCGGAAUUACUGGGUGUAAAGGGCGUGUAGGCGGGGAUGUAAGUCAGAUGUGAAAUUCCACUGCUCAACGGUGGCGCUGCAUCUGAAACUAUAUCUCUUGAGUACUGGAGAGGAAAGUGGAAUUCCUAGUGUAGCGGUGAAAUGCGUAGAUAUUAGGAGGAACACCAGUGGCGAAGGCGGCUUUCUGGACAGUAACUGACGCUGAGGCGCGAAAGCGUGGGGAGCA
This 400-nucleotide ribosomal RNA is filed under the name uncultured bacterium. Its description in RNAcentral is "bacterial SSU rRNA". It matches the Rfam family "Bacterial small subunit ribosomal RNA", at positions 355 to 770 of the family's 1533-position model. The record is from RNAcentral.